Molecule: ribosomal RNA, 253 nt
Filed under: uncultured bacterium
Lineage: Bacteria
Description: partial 16S ribosomal RNA
Rfam family: Bacterial small subunit ribosomal RNA
Source: RNAcentral
UACGGAGGGGGCUAGCGUUGUUCGGAAUUACUGGGCGUAAAGCGCACGUAGGCGGCUUUGUAAGUUAGAGGUGAAAGCCUGGAGCUCAACUCCAGAAUUGCCUUUAAGACUGCAUCGCUUGAGUCCGGAAGAGGCGAGUGGAAUUCCGGGUGUAGAGGUGAAAUUCGUAGAUAUUCGGAAGAACACCAGUGGCGAAGGCGGCUCGCUGGACCGGUAUUGACGCUGAGGUGCGAAAGCGUGGGGAGCAAACAGG